Long non-coding RNA from Oncorhynchus tshawytscha (Chinook salmon), 326 nucleotides. NCBI's taxonomy places the organism in Eukaryota, Metazoa, Chordata, Actinopteri, Salmoniformes, Salmonidae. The record is from Ensembl.
GAAUGGCAGAGAGAGAGAGAGAGAGAGAGGUAGAGAGAGAGAAAGAGAGAGGUGCAGGGGUGGUGACAGGAGAAUGGCAGAGAGAGAGAGAGAGAGAGAGAGAGGUGCAGGGGGUGGUGACGGGAGAAUAGCAGAGAGAGAUUGAAGAAGCGCUUGUAUUGGCAUUGCCACAAAGAAGGCACGACUCCGGUCUACCUCUUCUCUGAUUGACAGAUGAGGAGGAGGAGCGAAUCCAGACAGCUCUUUCUCAACCAAUUGCAAUGAAAGGGGGUUCUGGUUGCUGCAGCAACAGCACACCUUGGCUACCUAUUGGAGGAGCUGGAAAG